Drosophila serrata is the source of this 1276-nucleotide long non-coding RNA. NCBI's taxonomy places the organism in Eukaryota, Metazoa, Arthropoda, Insecta, Diptera, Drosophilidae. The record is from RefSeq and is a predicted model, not a curated record.
GGAUACGCAUGAUGAACUAGAAGUUGGUUAUUGCUUUCUAGCUAACAAUCUACUUGACUAAAUUCUGUGUAAAGUAAAAAUAUCUUUGAUAUACCUCUGCAUUACUGUUCGUUGGAAAAAUAUUGCACUCUGCGGUUGAUAUUACAAGCUGGUCUAGUUUAUCGUUAUGAGGAGAUUCAAUGCUGAGGAGAUCUACAAUGACGCAUAUGUAAUUUAUGAGCCUGUUUCUCAAAGGAUGUGUAAAAUUCCAACGGAAAGCUCAACACCGGAAAUUUUGUACAGUUUCAGUAUAUGUACAUAUGUCCAACAUUCGAAGCCAAAUUGAAAUGGAGCUUUGGAUCGAUGUUCAAAGAACUAUUGCAGUAUUGAAGAAAUAGCAUGAUUGGAUUCAGGUAAACUAUUAUAAUUUUCUUGUACAGAACUCGAUUUAUAUUUUCGGUUUUGGGAAGUCUCGCCGCAAAGUUACUGAACUAUGUAGGAUUUAAUGUAACAACAAAUAAUCUUUGUUAGAGAAAUGAGCAUUUAUUUGUUAUUUCAGAAUUUCCAUUUUAUUUCAUACAACCCUGACAUUAUGAUUGAAUACACUGUCUUCCUUCCCAGAAAGCACUAGUCGCCGUUGCGUCAGUCAUUUGGCUUUCCUGUAUUACGCUGUCAGUAAAAGUUUUCGGACUGAAAUUUCAGCUGGCUUAAGGCAAUAUUUUCUUCCUAAUGACAGCUAAAGCCAUUGUCCAUUGUCGUUUCUUCGUUAUCAUUAGAUGAAGACGAUAAUUUCAUCUGAUGACUUUGAAGCCCGGUACCCACAGGGAACAGUGUGUUUUGGAUUCUUCUAAACUUUUCUUAACAUGACGUGUUCUGGACUGAAAGGAUAACCGCGAAAGUAUAAUUAAAAAGCUAUAUUUAAUAUAAGGCAACUAACUAAAGUACAGGACCGGCAAGUGAGAAUCGGAUCUCACUCCUCCUCCUACGGAACGCCUGCUCAGAUAACUUUGUUUAGUUCUCUCGUCAUCCUACGGAUAGCUAAAGCAAGAGCCUGCAGAGUCACGAUGGCCACUGUUCGGCAUACCGAAAAGCAUUCAACAAGGAUAAGACUAUGGCAGAAGGUCAUCGAUCAUAUUUGUAAUUAUAUAAUUAUGGUAAGACGUAGGAAGCCAAUUUAAUUUAAAGUUUCAGCAGAAGGACUUGGACUAAAAGAGGAUUAAAGGACCCAAAUUACCCUUCUGAAGAUAAUCUGUAGUGCUCUUUAUUUAUUAUUCAAAAUUUCUUUUUUUGGAAUACU